UCAAACUUGGUCAUUUAGAGGAAGUAAAAGUCGUAACAAGGUUUCCGUAGGUGAACCUGCGGAAGGAUCAUUACCGAGUUCGGGUCUCUAUGGCCCAUCUCUCUAACCCUUUGUCUACCUGACCUCUGUUGCUUCGGCGGACCCGUCUCCCAGGAGACCGCCGGAGGGUAGAAGCCCUCUGGCCCGCGUCCGUCGAUGGCCCUUUAUUAAAACUCUUAACGAAAUGUGUUAAUGUCUGAACAAACAUUUAAAGAUAAAAAACUUUCAACAACGGAUCUCUUGGUUCUGGCAUCGAUGAAGAACGCAGC
RNAcentral lists this unclassified non-coding RNA (308 nucleotides) under uncultured fungus. RNAcentral describes it as "partial contains small subunit ribosomal RNA, internal transcribed spacer 1, and 5.8S ribosomal RNA". The stretch from base 1 to 73 matches the Rfam family "Eukaryotic small subunit ribosomal RNA", at positions 1759 to 1831 of the family's 1831-position model. Lineage: Eukaryota; Fungi. The record is from RNAcentral.